UAUUUACAGUGGCUGCCAUUGGC
Molecule: non-coding RNA, 23 nt
Filed under: Arabidopsis thaliana (thale cress)
Lineage: Eukaryota; Viridiplantae; Streptophyta; Magnoliopsida; Brassicales; Brassicaceae
Source: RNAcentral